Peromyscus maniculatus bairdii (prairie deer mouse) is the source of this 4915-nucleotide non-coding RNA. The record is from RefSeq and is a predicted model, not a curated record. NCBI's taxonomy places the organism in Eukaryota, Metazoa, Chordata, Mammalia, Rodentia, Cricetidae.
CUUGAAUUUAUUAUCCUCCUGCCUCAGCUCCUGAGUGCAGAGAGACAGAGUGCCUGUGGGACUUCUGAGAUGCAGAAAUGAAGGCUGCAUCUACCACACGAGUGAGAAGCCUGGUGGGUAUUCAGCAGCACAAAGCACAUAACAUCUGGUGGAAAGGAUUCCCUGUCCCACUCCUGUCCCUGUCCCCAGCUCCCUGGAGGACCCGUGUCUUCCUACAUUCUUGUGUCUCCUGAGUCUUGCCAGUGUCUGUCUAUAGGAACCAAGGCCUAAGGCACCAUGUGACCCGAAAUCAUCCCAGCAGCCUCCUGCUGCUCCUGAUCUGAAGUGACAAUCCACUUUCACCCCCUUCCUCUUGGAGAAGGGAGCUGAGGUCCGGGCUGUUCUUUCCAUCACCCCCUCCACCCUGAGGGUGACCGUGUAACUUCAAAUCUAACCCGAGCUGUCGUGAUGGACAGUCCACAAAACCUGGGGCCUUCCAGAGGUGGCACAGGCCAGAGGGAGACAUGAGAUCAGGGGAGGUGAGUGAAUACUUCUGAGAGGUGAAGGCUUUGGGUUGAAACUCAGAUACCAAAAAAUGUGCAUUAUUAAGACAGAGGAAAUCGAAACCAGUGAGAAACAGAUGGAGGUUCAAAUUUCAGUUGUAUUGAAAGCUGGGCAACCCCUGGAAACCUCAGUUUCCUCUCUUCCUUUCCACAGUGGUGGCUAUACCAUACUGAUGUUGCAGAAUUAAAUAAAAUAACACAUACACACAGUGAUAAUUAAGAUCUCUGACAUAUAGUAGGCAUUUGGUAAAUGCUGGCUGUUAUUACUAUCAGAGUCACUAUAGUUGAUGAUGGUGAUUAUGCAGAAGCUUGAAGGGUGUGUGAGGCCUGGAGACCAGACUUCCACGUUUCUAGGACCAUCCAACCACCGAUCUAGGUGAGUCCUCCACAGGAAGUCAGUGCCUUCUAGGAGCGCAGCCCGGCCUUUCUGUCUGCUGUCGUUUGGUUGCCUCAGACAUGGAAAUAAAGGCUUUGAUUUUGUUUAUGCCUCUCACUUUGUGCCGGGAACAAACAGCAUUUUGGGGAAUUAAGAGUCUCAGAGACAGGGCGGAGUCCUUCUCACUGUCAGAUAAAGGGGCCCCUGUUCUGAUUUCCGUCAGUGACAAGAAAUGGCCGCUCAGCCUGUCACUGAGCAGAAGGACCUGGCCAGAAGGAACAAUGACUGGACAAGCGCCAAGGUACUGAGGGGGAGAACUGGGUCCCCAGAGAGAAAGCACAGCUCCCCAGGUCUCCUGGUCGCUGGAUGCCGAGUAAACCGUAGCUGGUCCACGAGCCUCCAAGGAUUCUCCUGCCCCCGUCUCCCACUGCGUUGUCCGAGCACUGGGAUUCCAGACGUGCGCUUCCACACCUGAUUUCCACGGGGCCCCUGCCUUCCCAGAUGGCCGCCCGCAGGGACCUCACAAGCACAUGGGGGCAGAGGCCUGGCCUGGGACAGGAGCAUGAAGAAGGCCAAGACAAGUGGAAUCCGGUAUUGAUUGGCUUCUGUGACUUACAGCCUCAGGGGAGGGGUCUGGGAGAGUGACGUCAUUGCUGGAACUGGCACUGGCGCCCAACUUCCCUGAGACCUCUUCUUGCCUUUGUGACUUCUCUGUGCCUCUCCACUGCAGGGAUGGGACAGGCAUGGGGAAACUGGACUUGGCUGUAGGUUGGCCCUGGGACCACACUUCGGGUUCCGUCAGCCUCAGUCUACCCAAUAUGUGGCACUGUGGCUAUACUCCAGACCAGUAGGGCAGAAAGGCAUUGGACAUGACCCCUCCCCCAAAUGGCAACCUCUUCUCAUCCCUGCCAGAAGGGUGACAGCUUCCUGGGGAAUCUCCAAAACACAGUGCCCUUUCCGUGGGUUUAUUUAGAAAUGAGAAGUACCAGCCCUGGGCCUCCUCUGAUCUGGAGUGGAGAAGGACGUGGUGGACCUUGGAGGGGAGAAAAGGGCAAAUUUAGAUGGAGAUUCUUUCUGUUUUGUCUUGUUUUAAUUAGGUUUAUUUAUUUUAUGUGUAUGAGUGGUUUGCCUGUAUGUGUAUGUAUUUAUUUGUACUAUAUAUGUUUCUGGUGCCCUUGAAGAUCAGAAGAAGUAUCAGAUUGCCUAGAACUGGAGUGACAGAUGAUUGUGAGCUGCCAUGUAGGUGCUGGGAAUCAAACCCGGGUCCUCUGCAAGAUCAACCAGUGCUCUUAACCACUGAGCCAUGUCUCCAGCCCCCUAGUUUUGUUUUUAAAUAGGGUCUCAUGUAGCCCAGGCUGGCCUCAAACUCUGUACUCCCUGACUACUAGGAAUACAGGCAUUUGUCACGGCCCAGUGUAUUUAGUACUGGGGAUUAAAUCUGGAGCUUUGUGCAUACUAGGUAAGUGCUCUACCCACUGAGUCACAUUACCCACCUUAAGACAAGGAUUCUAUAUAGACUGGCUUUGAACUCAUAGAAAUCCACCUGCCUCUGCCCCCUGAGUUAUGGGCAUGCACUACCACACCCAGCAAACAAGGAUUUUUUUUAUUUUAUUUGUAUAUCUAUUUUAUGUGUGUGGGUGUUUGAUCUGCAUGUAUAUCUGCAUGCACCACAGGGAUCCCCUGGGAAUGGACUUACAGACAUACAUUUUUAAGCCAUUGUGUGGGCGCUGGGAAUCGAACCAGGGUCCUCUGAAAGAGCAAAUAGUGCUCUUAACCACUGAGCCAUCUUUUCAACCUCAAGACAAGGAUUUGAUUCAUACCUAACAAGUAUCUUGAGAACAUCAUUUUUUUAGGGAUUAGAUGUUUCCUUCUCCUCUUCCUGUCUCCUGUUCACUGGUGUGACUACAGCUGCCUCCUUGGUGACCUCCCUGGACCCACCUGGACCCUCUGAAGAGUCCUGCUGACAAGCCUUCCCCACUCCCAAUUAAGCCUUGGAAAACUUCACCCAUGGCCUCUCCUGGCUGUCUGGAGCUGCCUUCUUGGAGAAGGACAAUCACUGGCUGGUGUUGCCAGAAAGCCGAGGCCAGCCCAAAUGGCUACCUUGUGUGGACCAGGCACUCCAGAGGAGCAGGGGACGCAGGCUGGCCCAGGGACCAGGAGCCAACCCUUCAUUGUCUCUGAGAAUCACAAUCCUGGAUGGCAGCCGAUGGCCCGAGGAAGGACAUGGAACCCUCUGCCCUGCCCCCUCUUCCUGUCGGUGCUUGCCUCACAGUAUGGUCCUUCAAGAGAGUCCAGAACGGGAAUUGGAGAGGAAGGUGGUGGACCUUCUCCCCGCUGACCACCACAGGGACUGGAAGGUAGACACGGGCCUCCUCCCACCGUGAGUAUCACCGGCCUGGGUGCCCCUUCCCACCCUAGUCCCAUCAGUCUGUUUGGUGCUGAUUGGAAAGUCAGCAGUUCUGGAGGCCCUGCCAAGUCUAGCCGAGGAGGGCCUGACCUCCCCUCACCAUAAUUAUCUAUCUUAUAAAAUACAGGCAUUGAACUUCAUAAAACCAAUUAAGACUUCAGGGCCAGGGCACUCGGGAGCAAGCAGGAGUCGGCAGCUCUGGGUGACAAUGGGAGUCCACUCCAAGGACAGAGCAGCUCCCUCACGGUUCUCUACCUCACGGGUUCCACUUUAAAGAGCCCCCACCCCCACCCCCACCCCCCACCAGAAGGCACCAAGGCCAAACCCAGGGAAGGACUGGCUGGCUGACAGAGGCAGUGAGAGCUAGAACUGUUCCUUCCCUUUUGUGACCGGCAGCCCAACAGAGCCUGCUUCUCCCUCCCUCCCUUCCUCCCUCCCUCCUGCCCGCCCCCCACAUCCCUCUCUGGUUCUACAAAACCUCAAGAGCCUCCCAUCCAGUUACCAAGGCAACCGCAGCCCUGCAAGAUUCGCAGCGAUUCUGGGAGAGAGCAGAGACUGACAGGAGCCGCAGACAGGAUGCCAGGGUUGGGGUGUGUGUCUGGGGGUAAACAAGGAGACUGCAGGCUGCGGGCUGAGUGAGCAGCUCCCCUCUCCGUUCUCAGCUGGUUUGAGGCUCUGGGCUCAGGCUGGAGGCUUGUUUCACAGGCGGGUGCCAUGACAGCCACGAAGCUUCCCUCCCUGGGGGUGGUUUGGGGAAAACAGGGGAAGACCUGCAGACACUGAGUUCCCGGCCCAGCAUGGACCACCGGUACUUCCGCUAAGGCUCUCCACGCCUCGCCUGUGGGAGGCAGUACUGGGAAGGGAGAGAUCGUGGCUUGUCUGUGUGGUGGAUGUAGCCUGGCUCUUGGCUCACUUACUUUCUCGGACUCUGUUUUCUUAGGUGGAAAUGGGGAUAACGUGAUGAGUCCCAGGAUUUAACAAUCCUAUAAAUAUGUUUGCAUAAGGCACAACACUGAAGUUUUUCCUUAAGCUGCACAAACUUGAUCAUUAUUUCUAUUUUCUAAAUUACAUUUAGUGUGUGUGUGUGUGUGUGUGUGUGUGUGCGCGCGCGCGCGCACAUGUCACAGCUAACACGGGGAAGUCAGAAGACAGCUUGCAGGCGCUGCUUUUCUCUUUCCAUCACGUGGGUCCCAGGGAUUAAACUCAGGUUAUCAGGCUACCAAUGGGUCCCCAUUUUGAUUAUUAUUAGCACUGUGCACUUGGCUUAUUUAUCUGGAAAAUUAGAAUCGUGGUUAGAACUGACUCAAUUGUGGCUUGCGGAUUCCUUGAAGAAUCGUGUUUGCACCCGUACCUUAGCCUCAGUGGAGGCAGCCAGCUCUGCGUUCUCUUCACUCCCUGCAACGGAUGUUGGUGCACACCUGUAAUCCUAGCACUGAGGAGGGAGAUGGGACAGUUGAGAAGCCAAGGCUAGCCUCAGUUACAUAGUAAGAGCCUUUCUGUCUUAAUGACUCUUCUGUUGCCGCAAAGAGACACCAGGACCAAGGCAACUCAGCAGACAGUUUAUUUGGGGCUUACAGUUUCAGAAGUUCA